Molecule: ribosomal RNA, 219 nt
Filed under: Triticum aestivum (bread wheat)
Lineage: Eukaryota; Viridiplantae; Streptophyta; Magnoliopsida; Poales; Poaceae
Description: partial small subunit ribosomal RNA
Source: RNAcentral
AUGUUCCUGUACAAUUUACCUACGAAGGUCGCUAAUGUCCUCUCUGGCUGCUAUGAGUAUGACUUUCGGGAUCACUCCUUGAUGUUAGAUAUCUUACAGUCAUUUGAAAGGUUUCUCUACAUUAGCUUUGUGUAUUCAAUUUUUUUGUUCCUGACAAGAAGUGCAUUGCACAUGCACACUUAUAUGAAUCAAGCCUUACAUGAUUUGCUCUUUUACUGA